Molecule: small nuclear RNA, 24 nt
Filed under: Arabidopsis thaliana (thale cress)
Lineage: Eukaryota; Viridiplantae; Streptophyta; Magnoliopsida; Brassicales; Brassicaceae
Description: snRNA_01936
Source: RNAcentral
AAACUAAAAGCAUAGUUUGCUAAC